Molecule: transfer RNA, 417 nt
Filed under: Nodosilinea sp. TAU-MAC 0104
Lineage: Bacteria; Bacillati; Cyanobacteriota; Cyanophyceae; Nodosilineales; Nodosilineaceae
Description: partial 16S-23S ribosomal RNA intergenic spacer
Rfam family: tRNA (bases 155-227)
Source: RNAcentral
AUAGCUUCUAGACUAUGGUUGAGGUUUAUUUUUUAUUGUCUUCCAGUAAUGGGGGUGAUAAAGAAACUAAACACGGGCUAUUAGCUCAGGUGGUUAGAGCGCACCCCUGAUAAGGGUGAGGUCCCUGGUUCGAGUCCAGGAUGGCCCACUGCGUGGGGGUUUAGCUCAGUUGGUAGAGCGCCUGCUUUGCAAGCAGGAUGUCAGCGGUUCGAGUCCGCUAACCUCCACCAAGGAAAAGUUCAGCACAUUGUGAGUGGUUCAUCAGGAGUGAUGAGAUUACUUAUAAUCUGCUGGGCGAGAGCCUAGCGAAGAACCUUGAAAACUGAAUAUGAGAGAAGUGUAAGGUAGUACACACAGAACAUUCAAAGUUCGUUGAGAGAAGAGUGAACUUGAUUAGUUUUAAUUAACUAAUGAGAG